UACGUAGGUGGCAAGCGUUAUCCGGAAUUAUUGGGCGUAAAGCGCGCGCAGGCGGUUUCUUAAGUCUGAUGUGAAAGCCCACGGCUCAACCGUGGAGGGUCAUUGGAAACUGGGGAACUUGAGCGCAGAAGAGAAAAGCGGAAUUCCACGUGUAGCGGUGAAAUGCGUAGAGAUGUGGAGGAACACCAGUGGCGAAGGCGGCUUUUUGGUCUGUAACUGACGCUGAGGCGCGAAAGCGUGGGGAGCAAACAGG
RNAcentral lists this ribosomal RNA (253 nucleotides) under uncultured bacterium. RNAcentral's name for it is "partial 16S ribosomal RNA". It matches the Rfam family "Bacterial small subunit ribosomal RNA", at positions 524 to 776 of the family's 1533-position model. The record is from RNAcentral.